This 499-nucleotide ribosomal RNA is filed under the name fungal sp. AM2013. RNAcentral describes it as "eukaryotic LSU rRNA". The stretch from base 135 to 288 matches the Rfam family "5.8S ribosomal RNA". The record is from RNAcentral. Lineage: Eukaryota; Fungi.
GGAAGGCUACUUACAACCAUCGCGAACUGCUCCAAGUUGCUUCGGCGGCGCGGGCCCCCCGGGGCGCGCCCGCCGGAGGUACGAAACUCUCAUGCAUUACAGUGGCCUCUCUGAGUACGAAACGAAUAAGUCAAAACUUUCAACAACGGAUCUCUUGGUUCUGGCAUCGAUGAAGAACGCAGCGAAAUGCGAUAAGUAAUGUGAAUUGCAGAAUUCAGUGAAUCAUCGAAUCUUUGAACGCACAUUGCGCCCGGCAGUACUCUGCCGGGCAUGCCUGUUCGAGCGUCAUUUCAACCCUCAAGCCCUGCUUGGUGUUGGGGCCCUACGGCUGCCGUAGACCCCGAAAGGAAGUGGCGGGCUCGCCGCAGCUCCGAGCGCAGUAACUAACAGUCUCGCUAGGGAGGCCGCGGCGCGCUCCUGCCGUUAAAGAACCCCAUCUUUAACCAAAGGUUGACCUCGGAUCAGGUAGGAAUACCCGCUGAACUUAAGCAUAUCAUAA